Molecule: long non-coding RNA, 1962 nt
Filed under: Homo sapiens (human)
Lineage: Eukaryota; Metazoa; Chordata; Mammalia; Primates; Hominidae
Description: HSALNT0307703
Source: RNAcentral
UCUGUCAAUUCGUCAAACUCAUUCUCUGUCCCGUUUUGUGCCCUUGCUGGAGAGGAGUUGUGAUCAUUUGGAAAAGAGACAUUCUGAUUUUUGGAAUUUUCAGCAUUUUGCCCUGGUUUUUCCUCAUCUUCUCGGAUUUAUCUACCUUUAGUCUUUGAUGUUGAUGACCUUUGGAUGCGGUUUUUGUGUGGGUGUCCUUUUUGUUGAUGUUGAUGUCCUUGCUUUCUGUUUGUUGGUUUUCCUUUUAACAGUUGGUCCCCUCUUCUGCAGGUCUGCUGGAGUUUGCUGGAGGUCCACUCCAGACCCUGUUUGCCUGGGUAUCAACAGCAGAGGCCUCAGAACAUCAAAGAUUGCUGCCUGCUUCUUCCUCUAGAUGCCCUGCCCAGUGAGGAGGAAUCUAAAGAGGAAGUCUGGCCACAGUCGCUUUUCUGUGCUGGGGUGAAUUCCACACAGUCUGAACUUCCCGGUUGCUUCCUUAACACUGUGUGGGGAAAACCGCCUACUCAAGCCUCAGUAAUGGCAGACUUCCCAACCCCCACCAAGCUCAAGCAUCUCAGGUCAGUUUCAGACUGCUGAGCUGGCAGCCACAAUUUCAAGCCAGUGGUUCUUAGCUUGCUGGAACCCAGCAAGCUAAGAGUGGGAGUGGGACCUGCUGAGUGAGACCACUUGGCUCCUUGGCUUCAGCCCCCUUUCCGGGGGUGUGAACGAUUCUGUCUCGCUGGGGUUUCAGGCGCUCCUGGGGUACGAAAAAUAAACCCCUGCAGCUAGCUCAGUGUCUGCCCAAACAGGCACCCAGUUUUGUGCUUGAAACCCAGGGCCCUGGUGGUAUAGACAUAUGAGGGAAUCUCCUGGUCUGCAGUUUGUAAAAACUGUGGGAAAACUGUAGUAUCUGGGUUGGAUAGCACAGUCCCUUGACUAGGUGAGGGAGGUCCCUGGACCCUUGCACUUCCCGGGUGAGGUGACGCCCCACCCUGUUUCUGCUUGCCCUCCAUGGGCUACACCCACUGUCUAACCAGUCCCAGUGAGAUGAACCGGGUACCUCAGUUGGAAAUGCAGAAAUCACCCGCCUUCUGUGUUGUUCUCGCAGGGAGCUGCAGAUGGGAGCUGUUGCUAUUCAGUCAUCUUGCCCAGGAACAACUAGAGUUAAAUUUAAAUACAGAAGCUGGAAAAUCUGAUAUAAAAAUCAGUUGCUGUAUUUAAGAUUUUAGGAAGAUUGACAGCUUUUCCUUUACUUUUUGUUUUCCUUUCCACCUUUCUUAAGGCUUGGUUUCAGCCCUAUUAUACAUAUUUACUUUUAUCAGAAAGGAUCAGAAAUGUUUUUUGAGUGUAAUGAACAGGCAUAAAUACUUUUUCAAAACAUUUUUCUUAAAACAUUUUUCUAAAAAUAUUUUUCUUUUUCAAAGUUUUUUUUUUUUUUUUGAGACAGAGCCUCGCUCUGUCGCCCAGGCUGGAGUGCAGUGGUGCAAUCUUGGCUCACUGCAAGCUCUGCCUCCUGGGUUCACACCAUUCUCCUGCCUCAGCCUCCCGAGUAGCUGGGACUACAGGUGCCUGCCACCACACCUGGCUAAUUUUUUUUUGUAUUUUUAGUAGAUGCGGGGUUUCACCGUGUUAGCCAGGAUGGUCUUGAUCUCCUGACCUCAUGGCAGUAGAGCUGAGUAAUUUAUAUCCUUAAUAUCAGACACUGAAUUUUGACAGUUCAAGAAGACUUUUAUACUAUAUUUCAGCAUUAAUAUGUAUGUAUUUUUCCCAGGAAAUCAAGAUUAAUGUGAUCUGGACCAAUUAAAUAAAUUUAAAGUUAUUUAAUUCGUUUAUGGAAAAAUGAUACAUUAUUUGUAGCAAAGCCAAGCCUAAAUUUUCUCUGAAGCAAAUCCUAACCCUCCAUUUACAUUUUUCUCUUUUUUCCUCUUUCUUCCCACAAACCAAGUCCUUGUUAAAACUAACGUUGCUGAAAAUUUAGUGAAG